This 464-nucleotide ribosomal RNA is filed under the name uncultured bacterium. Its description in RNAcentral is "partial 16S ribosomal RNA". It matches the Rfam family "Bacterial small subunit ribosomal RNA", at positions 28 to 507 of the family's 1533-position model. The record is from RNAcentral.
GACGAACGCUGGCGGCGUGCUUAACACAUGCAAGUCGAACGGUAAGGCCCCAGCUUGCUGGGGUACACGAGUGGCGAACGGGUGAGUAACACGUGGGUGACCUGCCCCGCACUUCGGGAUAAGCCUGGGAAACUGGGUCUAAUACCGGAUAGGACCGCACCGUGAGGGUGUGGUGGAAAGUUUUUCGGUGUGGGAUGGGCCCGCGGCCUAUCAGCUUGUUGGUGGGGUAAUGGCCUACCAAGGCGGCGACGGGUAGCCGGCCUGAGAGGGUGGACGGCCACAUUGGGACUGAGACACGGCCCAGACUCCUACGGGAGGCAGCAGUGGGGAAUAUUGCACAAUGGGCGGAAGCCUGAUGCAGCGACGCCGCGUGGGGGAUGACGGCCUUCGGGUUGUAAACUCCUUUCACCAUCGACGAAGGUUUUCUGGCGGUAGAUGGAGAAGAAGCACCGGCUAACUACGUG